UACGUAGGGUGCAAGCGUUGUCCGGAAUUAUUGGGCGUAAAGAGCUCGUAGGCGGUUUGGCGCGUCUGCUGUGAAAACUCGGGGCUUAACCCCGGGCCUGCAGUGGGUACGGGCAGACUAGAGUGCGGUAGGGGAGACUGGAAUUCCUGGUGUAGCGGUGAAAUGCGCAGAUAUCGGGAGGAACACCGGUGGCGAAGGCGGGUCUCUGGGCCGUAACUGACGCUGAGGAGCGAAAGCGUGGGGAGCGAACAGG
RNAcentral lists this ribosomal RNA (253 nucleotides) under uncultured bacterium. RNAcentral's name for it is "partial 16S ribosomal RNA". It matches the Rfam family "Bacterial small subunit ribosomal RNA", at positions 524 to 776 of the family's 1533-position model. The record is from RNAcentral.